RNAcentral lists this unclassified non-coding RNA (154 nucleotides) under uncultured Fusarium. RNAcentral describes it as "sequence contains ITS1". Lineage: Eukaryota; Fungi; Ascomycota; Sordariomycetes; Hypocreales; Nectriaceae. The record is from RNAcentral.
CCGAGUUUACAACUCCCAAACCCCUGUGAACAUACCUAUACGUUGCCUCGGCGGAUCAGCCCGCGCCCCGUAAAAAGGGACGGCCCGCCCGAGGACCCCUAAACUCUGUUUUUAGUGGAACUUCUGAAGUAAAAACAAAACAAAAUAAAAUCAA